This is a long non-coding RNA of Suricata suricatta (meerkat), 376 nucleotides long. RefSeq lists it as uncharacterized. The transcript has 2 exons. Lineage: Eukaryota; Metazoa; Chordata; Mammalia; Carnivora; Herpestidae. The record is from RefSeq and is a predicted model, not a curated record.
UGUUUUUGGAGGUGUGUAACCAAGAGUCUACAACUCCAAGCUUGCAGUAAUAAAUAUGGAAACUGAGAAGGUUGCUGAGCUGGUCCCAAUCCCACAUGCAUCCAGGCAGAUGGCACAUGCAUCAUACCCACCUCCUUUCUGGAAUUUACAGAGACAAAGCCUCUUAAGAUGAUCUUUAUAAAAUAUUUCUCCUAGUUGGAUGUCUGUCCUGGAAAAAUUGUGUGAAAAUGAAAAUGAGUGUCAGGAUGAGGUGAAUUCAUCUUUCAGAGAGUUAUCCGAUACUUUCUCAACAAAGGCAUAUGGAAUGUCACCUUUCCCCCACGAAACAAUUUAUGUGGAUUCCAUACUAAUUAAUCAGUAUCAAUAUUGAGAACUA